GGGGGGGGGGGGGGGGGGGGGGGGCGCGUGCGGGUCGGGCGGGACGGCCGGGGUGUGGGGGGGGGGGCGGGUGGGGGACGGGUGAGUGGCACGGGAGUAACCUGCCCUUGCCUUUGGGAGAACUUGAGGGCACUGGGGCUCAUACCGGAGAGGAGGUCCUGCUGCAUGGUGGGGGUGGGAACGUUUCGGCGGGUGGGGAUGGACGCGCGGCGUAUCAGCUGGUUGGUGGGGUAGUGGCUUACCCAGGCUUUGACGGGUAGCCGGCCUGAGAGGGUGACCGGCCACAUUGGGACUGAGAUACGGCCCAGACUCCUACGGGAGGAAGCAGUGGGGAAUAUUGCACAAUGGGCGGAAGCCUGAUGCAGCAACGCCGCGUGCGGGAUGACGGCCUUCGGGUUGUAAACCGCUUUCGCCUGUGACGAAGCGUGAGUGACGGUAAUGGGUAAAGAAGCACCGGCUAACUACGUG
RNAcentral lists this ribosomal RNA (468 nucleotides) under uncultured bacterium. RNAcentral describes it as "partial 16S ribosomal RNA". It matches the Rfam family "Bacterial small subunit ribosomal RNA", at positions 38 to 507 of the family's 1533-position model. The record is from RNAcentral.